Molecule: ribosomal RNA, 253 nt
Filed under: uncultured bacterium
Lineage: Bacteria
Description: partial 16S ribosomal RNA
Rfam family: Bacterial small subunit ribosomal RNA
Source: RNAcentral
UACGUAGGUGGCAAGCGUUGUCCGGAUUUACUGGGCGUAAAGAGCGCGCAGGCGGUCGUUCAAGUCGCGUGUGAAAGCCCCCGGCUCAACUGGGGAGGGUCACGCGAUACUGAUCGACUGGAAGGCAGGAGAGGGUAGUGGAAUUCCCGGUGUAGUGGUGAAAUGCGUAGAUAUCGGGAGGAACACCAGUGGCGAAGGCGGCGACCUGGGUAGAUACUGACGCUGAGGCGCGAAAGCGUGGGGAGCAAACAGG